RNAcentral lists this transfer RNA (72 nucleotides) under Dipodomys ordii (Ord's kangaroo rat). It matches the Rfam family "tRNA". Rfam says of the family: Transfer RNA (tRNA) molecules are approximately 80 nucleotides in length. Their secondary structure includes four short double-helical elements and three loops (D, anti-codon, and T loops). Lineage: Eukaryota; Metazoa; Chordata; Mammalia; Rodentia; Heteromyidae. The record is from Rfam by way of RNAcentral.
GGGAAGGUGGCUCAGUGGUGGAAUGCUUGCCUUGCAUGCAUGAGGCCCUGGGUUCGAUUCCUCAGCAUCCCA